GCCCAGACUCCUACGGGAGGCAGCAGUGGGGGAUAUUGCACAAUGGGGGAAACCCUGAUGCAGCGACGCCGCGUGAGUGAAGACGGCCCUCGGGUUGUAAAGCUCUGUCAAUCGGGACGAAGAAGAUGACGGUACCGAUGAAGGAAGCUCCGGCUAACUACGUGCCAGCAGCCGCGGUAAUACGUAGGGGGCAAGCGUUAUCCGGAUUCACUGGGUGUAAAGGGAGCGUAGACGGCGACGCAAGUCUGGAGUGAAAGCCCGGGGCCCAACCCCGGGACUGCUCUGGAAACUGCGUCGCUGGAGUACGGGAGGGGCAGGCGGAAUUCCUGGUGUAGCGGUGAAAUGCGCAGAUAUCAGGAAGAACACCGGUGGCGCAGGCGGCUUGCUGGACGGCAACUGACGCUGAGGCUCGAAAGCGUGGGGAGCAAACAGGAUUAGAUACCCCCGUAA
Molecule: ribosomal RNA, 450 nt
Filed under: uncultured bacterium
Lineage: Bacteria
Description: bacterial SSU rRNA
Rfam family: Bacterial small subunit ribosomal RNA
Source: RNAcentral